This 490-nucleotide ribosomal RNA is filed under the name uncultured bacterium. RNAcentral's name for it is "partial 16S ribosomal RNA". It matches the Rfam family "Bacterial small subunit ribosomal RNA", at positions 29 to 507 of the family's 1533-position model. The record is from RNAcentral.
AGUGAACGCUGGCGGUAGGCCUAACACAUGCAAGUCGAACGGCAGCACAGGAGAGCUUGCUCUCUAGGUGGCGAGUGGCGGACGGGUGAGGAAUACAUCGGAAUCUGCCCAGUCGUGGGGGAUAACGUAGGGAAACUUACGCUAAUACCGCAUACGACCUUCGGGGGAAAGAGGGGGAUCGCAAGACCUAUCGCGAUUGGAUGAGCCGAUGUCGGAUUAGCUAGUUAGCGGGGUAAUGGCCCACCAAGGCGACGAUCCGUAGCUGGUCUGAGAGGAUGAUCAGCCACACUGGAACUGAGACACGGUCCAGACUCCUACGGGAGGCAGCAGUGGGGAAUAUUGGACAAUGGGCGCAAGCCUGAUCCAGCCAUACCGCGUGGGUGAAGAAGGCCUUCGGGUUGUAAAGCCCUUUUGUUGGGAAAGAAAUCUUUCAGGCUAAUACCCUGGGAGGAUGACGGUACCCAAAGAAUAAGCACCGGCUAACUUCGUG